Molecule: ribosomal RNA, 585 nt
Filed under: uncultured bacterium
Lineage: Bacteria
Description: partial 16S ribosomal RNA
Rfam family: Bacterial small subunit ribosomal RNA
Source: RNAcentral
UGGGGAAUUUUGGACAAUGGGGGCAACCCUGAUCCAGCAAUGCCGCGUGUGUGAAGAAGGCCUUCGGGUUGUAAAGCACUUUUGUCCGGAAAGAAAUCCUUGGCUCUAAUACAGUCGGGGGAUGACGGUACCGGAAGAAUAAGCACCGGCUAACUACGUGCCAGCAGCCGCGGUAAUACGUAGGGUGCAAGCGUUAAUCGGAAUUACUGGGCGUAAAGCGUGCGCAGGCGGUUUGCUAAGACCGAUGUGAAAUCCCCGGGCUCAACCUGGGAACUGCAUUGGUGACUGGCAGGCUAGAGUAUGGCAGAGGGGGGUAGAAUUCCACGUGUAGCAGUGAAAUGCGUAGAGAUGUGGAGGAAUACCGAUGGCGAAGGCAGCCCCCUGGGCCAAUACUGACGCUCAUGCACGAAAGCGUGGGGAGCAAACAGGAUUAGAUACCCUGGUAGUCCACGCCCUAAACGAUGUCAACUAGUUGUUGGGGAUUCAUUUCCUUAGUAACGUAGCUAACGCGUGAAGUUGACCGCCUGGGGAGUACGGUCGCAAGAUUAAAACUCAAAGGAAUUGACGGGGUCAUAGCUGUUUCCU